GGCGACCGGCGCACGGGUGCGGAACGCGUAUGGAACCUGCCCCUGUCAGGGGAAUAGCCCAGGGAAACUUGGAUUAAUGCCCCAUGGUACCGCGAUAUCGCAUGAUAUUGCGGUUAAAGAUUUAUCGGACAGGGAUGGCCAUGCGUACCAUUAGUUAGUUGGUGGGGUAACGGCCCACCAAGGCAGCGAUGGUUAGGGGCCCUGAGAGGGGGAUCCCCCACACUGGUACUGAGACACGGACCAGACUCCUACGGGAGGCAGCAGUGAGGAAUAUUGGACAAUGGGCGGGAGCCUGAUCCAGCCAUGCCGCGUGCAGGAUGACGGCCCUAUGGGUUGUAAACUGCUUUUAUACGGGAAGAAAUGCGCCCACGUGUGGGCGUCUGACGGUACCGUAAGAAUAAGGACCGGCUAACUCCGUGCCAGCAGCCGCGGUAAUACGGAGGGUCCGAGCGUUAUCCGGAAUCAUUGGGUUUAAAGGGUCCGUAGGCGGGCCUGUAAGUCAGGGGUGAAAGUUUGUGGCUCAACCAUAAAAUUGCCUUUGAUACUGCAGGUCUUGAGUCAUGGUGGGGUCGCCGGAACAUGUGGUGUAGCGGUGAAAUGCAUAGAUAUCACAUAGAACACCGAUCGCGAAGGCAGGUGGCCAACCAUGU
This 650-nucleotide ribosomal RNA is filed under the name Flagellimonas ruestringensis. RNAcentral's name for it is "bacterial SSU rRNA". It matches the Rfam family "Bacterial small subunit ribosomal RNA", at positions 90 to 738 of the family's 1533-position model. Lineage: Bacteria; Pseudomonadati; Bacteroidota; Flavobacteriia; Flavobacteriales; Flavobacteriaceae. The record is from RNAcentral.